Long non-coding RNA from Cynoglossus semilaevis (tongue sole), 2095 nucleotides. RefSeq lists it as uncharacterized. Lineage: Eukaryota; Metazoa; Chordata; Actinopteri; Pleuronectiformes; Cynoglossidae. The record is from RefSeq and is a predicted model, not a curated record. The transcript is spliced from 4 exons.
AGCCAUUGUUUCUGGCUGGGGUCUACACUCUCUUCCACUGAACAUAUAGCAAUGAGCUAUGACAUCAUCAGUAUUCACUAAGCAGUAUUCACUCUCCAGUGAAUCCUCCUUUUGUACUUUUUCAUGUACUUUUUUAGUAAAUCUGUUCAACAACAGACGUCACAAUUUAACUGCUAAGUGUGGUGUGCGCCAAUGCUGCUGUUCAAAAGACCAUAUAGUACAUCUGCUGCAUCUGUGAAGAGUAACUUCCUGUUUGUGUUUCUUUCUUUUCAUUUUUGUGAAGGGUCGGUGCUGCUAAUAAGAGGUCGGAGCUGAGGUGGACGUCCAGUGGAGCUGUGGGUUUAAACGGGGGCAGGCCGCCCACUUAAACAACAGUAUAUCACUGUCAACCAUGGACUGUGAAAGGAGGAGGAGGAGGCAUGCUGCAGGAGCAGCUGGACCUCCUCCUCCUCCACGGGUGCUGGGAGCAGCCGAGGAGCUGGUGCUUCUUAAUCAAGGCGUUCUCGUGAAAUGGGCAGAGGAAGGAAAAGGCAUCCAGCCCAGGAGGGUGGAGCACGGGUCUCGGGCAGUCCGGCCUCUGUGCUCCUCUGUUCUCCUCUGUUCUCCUCUUUUCUUCUCUCCUCGCAGGCUGCUGUGUCUCCUCAGAUGAAGGAGUAACAGGAUUAAAGCACCGUGUCGCUGUGAUAGGGGAGCACGGAGUGACGAGACGGUGGCUGAAGCAUGGCCCAGAGUCUGCUGAUGAUAAAGGCGGAAGGGGUCUCCCGUCGUUCAUUCAAAAACUGGGAAAACAGAAGAUGAAGAACCCCAACAGAGAUUUAAGGCUUAAAUACUGACCAGCUGAGGCGGAGGGAGAGUGUGUGUGUGUGUGCGUGUCUGAUGUGUUGCAGUUGUACAGAAUGGCCACACUCACCAGGAUCUGGCAACCCAUCCCCCAAGCUCUGGCCGACUGCACAGCUGUGUUGUGUUUGGAUUAGGCCAAGAAUAAAACAGGAAGUCAAAAUUAAACAAAAAGUCCAACACAGUCUCACACACUAAAAGACUCAGCAGCACGACUGACAGCCUGGCGUGGAUAUACGAACUGCCGUUUGAACGGAGUCCUGCUCUGCCUCCCACGGACGCUCGGCCCCGGCAGCACCACGCACAUAUAGGGUUUGAGUGUGCGCACACACUCAAAGUCAGACAUAUGGUGGCGCUAUAAACACACCUAAAUGGCCCUGGACUGUGAAUUUACUAGACCGCCAACCGAAAGACAUGCCUUGGCCAGUGCCCCCCCACCUUGGGUACUAUAGAGGUAAGUGGACAUUUAAGACAGUGUUGUUAGAUCAUUUAUUACUUUUUCAUGCAGUGUUCAAAUGCCCCUCCGAUGUCACUACAAAGGCAACAGCAUGUUUCAACACUCACCCAGUUCUCUUUUCUUUAAUCUUGUUUUACACCAUUUACAUGUAUUUUAUUUAUUUAAAACCAUUAGCAGAAGUGUUGGCUGGUGAAUGUGUGAACUCACUCGGAGUUAAAUCAUCGGUGUGGUUUCUCUUUCGCCGCUUAUGUGCACACUGAAUAGCCUCAGAGAUAGCACGGGGUGACUUCAGUGAAGAGGAAGUGGAAUAAGGAAGAAGAAGAACAAUGAUGAGAUGUUUGGAAAGGCAUGGCCACAUGUGAUGUACGUAAAGAGUAGCCACCAGGUUAGUCCAGCUGGCAAGGUGGAGCAGGGUGGAAAUCCGCUGAAGUGCUUCUCGUCAUGAGUUGGAUGGACAGUUAAUGAAAUACAGUAAACGUUUUCAGAUGUUGUUUUUACUGUCAGGGACUUGAGUCACUUCGUGAGUCACGCAUGUCUGCGUGUGUUUUUGUUGACGCGGUUAUGCCAGCUUUCCUGACAGUUUGUGUGUGUGUGUGUGUGUGUGUGUGUGUGUGUGUGUGUGUGUGUGAAUAAGAAAAGCACAUGAAAACACUUAGCCUACUGCUGUCCACACUGGCCCCUCCCCUUUCCUAACACACUCACACACGUAGACCUAAAUAUCGCAACCAAAAACAGUACAUGUAACUCACUAUUUAUCCCCACCUCCCAUUUAUAUAUUAAAAUAUAUUAGGAAAUUUGACA